This 505-nucleotide ribosomal RNA is filed under the name uncultured bacterium. Its description in RNAcentral is "partial 16S ribosomal RNA". It matches the Rfam family "Bacterial small subunit ribosomal RNA", at positions 28 to 507 of the family's 1533-position model. The record is from RNAcentral.
GACGAACGCUGGCGGCGUGCCUAAUACAUGCAAGUAGAACGCACAGUUUAUACCGUAGCUUGCUACACCAUAGACUGUGAGUUGCGAACGGGUGAGUAACGCGUAGGUAACCUGCCUGGUAGCGGGGGAUAACUAUUGGAAACGAUAGCUAAUACCGCAUAAUAUUGAUUAUUGCAUGAUAAUUAAUUGAAAGGUGCAAUUGCAUCACUACCAGAUGGACCUGCGUUGUAUUAGCUAGUAGGUGAGGUAACGGCUCACCCAGGCGAAGAUACAUAGCCGACCUGGGGAGGUGGUCGGCCACACUUGGAAUGGAGAACGGCCCCAAAUCCUUCGGGAGGCAGCCGGAGGGGAACUUCGGUAAUGGACGAAAGGCUGACCGGGCAAAGCCGCGUGAGGGAAGAAGGGUUUCGGGUCGGAAAGCUCUGUUGUAAGGGAAGAACGGGUGUGAGAGUGGAAAGUUCACACUGUGACGGUAUCUAACCAGAAAGGGACGGCUAACUACGUG